RNAcentral lists this ribosomal RNA (250 nucleotides) under uncultured Chroococcidiopsis sp. RNAcentral describes it as "partial 16S ribosomal RNA". It matches the Rfam family "Bacterial small subunit ribosomal RNA", at positions 796 to 1044 of the family's 1533-position model. Lineage: Bacteria; Bacillati; Cyanobacteriota; Cyanophyceae; Chroococcidiopsidales; Chroococcidiopsidaceae. The record is from RNAcentral.
CUAGCUGUAAACGAUGGAUACUAGGCGUUGAGAGUAUCGACCCUCUUAGUGUCGUAGCUAACGCGUUAAGUAUCCCGCCUGGGGAGUACGCGCGCAAGCGUGAAACUCAAAGGAAUUGACGGGGGCCCGCACAAGCGGUGGAGUAUGUGGUUUAAUUCGAUGCAACGCGAAGAACCUUACCAGGGCUUGACAUGUCCGGAACCCUGCCCAAAGGCGGGGGUGCCUACGGGAACCGGAACACAGGUGGUGC